CUCACGGAACCCUGAGCAUCCUCCUGUUGACUAAAUUUCCCCGGUGACGUCAGAGUGCACGUACAUCGUCCAUGUAAGUGAUGCUUCUGAAUGAAUGAGUGUCCCCUCCCACCUCCAAUACUAGUACUACGGGAUGUCUAUAAGAGCAGAUCGCCGGGACAGCCCGCUGAAUUGCAUGACAUGAGGAGUGAGGCGCAGGUGCCAGAAGCGAAAUUUAAAAAGAUCAAAAUCCGACAUAUAUUUUUUUUACAAGAAUGUAGUAGCAGUGCUGGCCAUGGGGGUAGGUAGGACAAUUCUUUGAUACACGAACACAUUCGCAGCCGGUAAAUUUUAAUGUGACAAUCUAGGAAAUGAUAAAACUGUUAUUUCUUUAUAGUUUUAUUCAAGUCGUAAAGUGUAGAAAUCUCCGCUGGAGUUGAGAAGACCAUGGGGGUCGCGGGGGGAGCUGGAAUCCAUCCCAGCCAAGAUCGGGCGAGAGACGGGGCCGUCAAUUGCAGGGCUGACACAUAUCCACACAUAUAUGCAUAUCUAUACACAUGUACAUAUGUAUAUAUACAUGCACAGGAAUAACUGAACUCUACGAGCCUGACUAUGAUUUCAGCACAUAGGUAUCAAUAAUUACAUGUAAGAGAUGUUAUGCUAAGGACAAUAUGUUUGAAUACAUUUUUAAAAAAGCUUUACAUAUGUGCUGUACAUUUGAGAAGGAAUAUUACAGGACCAAAUUCUGGAAGGAGGAAGACUCCUUGACAGAUAGGUGAAGGUUUUGGGUUUUGAAGUUAGAGCAGGGCAGCCAUCAGGGAAAGACUACAUGUAUAAUCCUAAUGAAAACCAAUCCCCUCCUCCCAGCAAAAGAGCAACGGGAAUUUCCUGAAACUGCCGUUAAUUCUGAUAUUCACUCCUCGUCCUAGGUGUCUUUUUUGUCAAAUUUCUAAGGAAAGCUUUUGGUUUGUGAUUUCCCCAUUCACAAAUAUGCAAGUUUAAGUACAAGCCAUGUCAUGUCUUAUUUCUGAUUAAUAAAUAGAUUAAUCAAUAAUAUAUGAGAGUUUGUGUCUUUUUCAGUAAUAACGAUUCAAACUUCAGGACCCAAUGUGCACGUGCUGGUUUAAGAACUGAUUUAAAUUGAUCAUCACAAACAUAUCAAACCUCGUCCUGAGGCUGUAGCUGCCAUCUUCUGGUAGAGGCUCCUUCCUGUAGAUGAGGGUCCAUUUUCUCUGCACUGUAAGAUCGUACUGAAGUCCUUUCCAGCAGCACAUAAGCUGGCUGUUCAGAGACCAAGACUGAAAACAUAAAGUUGGCACCGUUGCUGAUUAUAACAUUCAACUUGAGGUAGAAUUUCUAACACAAUCAUAUGGUAAUUGCUGAUGUGAAAAGUGAAAGAAAAA
Molecule: long non-coding RNA, 1382 nt
Organism: Gasterosteus aculeatus aculeatus (three-spined stickleback)
Lineage: Eukaryota; Metazoa; Chordata; Actinopteri; Perciformes; Gasterosteidae
Source: Ensembl